UACGGGGGGGAGCAAGCGUUGUUCGGAUUUACUGGGCGUAAAGGGCGCGUAGGCGGUCGACCAAGUCUGGGGUGAAAUCUUUCGGCUUAACCGGAAAAGUGCCCCCGAUACUGGCCGGCUAGAGGGAGAUAGGGGCAUGUGGAACUUCCGGUGGAGCGGUGAAAUGCGUAGAUAUCGGAAGGAACGCCGGUGGCGAAAGCGACGUGCUGGAUCUCUUCUGACGCUGAGGCGCGAAAGCCAGGGGAGCAAACGGG
Molecule: ribosomal RNA, 254 nt
Filed under: uncultured bacterium
Lineage: Bacteria
Description: partial 16S ribosomal RNA
Rfam family: Bacterial small subunit ribosomal RNA
Source: RNAcentral